Molecule: long non-coding RNA, 2574 nt
Organism: Echeneis naucrates (live sharksucker)
Lineage: Eukaryota; Metazoa; Chordata; Actinopteri; Carangiformes; Echeneidae
Source: Ensembl
CUUAGACCUCAUGACAGAAGUAAUGAUCUGAGCUGCCGACAGAUGCUGAGGAGAGUGGAGACAUGGAAGCUGUGCUAGGACUGUGUCUGAUGUUGCUCAGAGUCUCUCAUGGUGUGGAGACUCAGUGUGACGGCAGACAGGAUGGAGCUCAGUGUUAUGGAGCUGUGGGAGGAACUGUGGCCCUCCAGCUGAUGGACAGCGUUGUAGGACUAGUUAGAUACAGAUGGACAUUCAACAACACAAAAAUAAUACUCAAUGGGAGAAAGAAUACUCCGGUUAAUCUGACAGACAACAGAUACUCCUUCACUCCCAGCAAUGGAACAUUUAGGAUGAAUAACCUGAGAAGGAGUGAUGGUGGUGAAUAUACUCUGCUAAUAUUUGAUUCCAAUGGUACGAACACAGAGAAGCGAACUCUAAAGUUGGUCGUUCAAGCUCCUGUGUCCUCUGUCCGGCUGGUCUCUGAACGUCUGUCUCAGGGAGAGAUGAGGGUGUCCUGCCUCUCUGAAGGAGGGGACAGUCCUCAGUACAGCUGGACUCUGGAUGGACACACACUGACAGAUGCUGAGCUUCUCACUGGACAUAAUGAAACUAACAACAUCACUCUGAAACAGCAUGUUUCAGGACGUCUGGCCUGCUCAGUCAGGAAUCAUGUCAGCAGUGUCUUUGCAGAUGAAAAGAUAUCUGCCUUUAAAGAUCCCGCUCUGCUCAUAUGUGGCAUGAUGUUUGCCGUGGCAGUUAUUUCAGUGAUUGGGAUUUUCAUCUUUUUUCAUUUGAAGAAGAAGAAAUACAAGCAAGGUGAAGUAGCUACCAACCCGAGAGCGAUGGAGCCUUCAGGGGACUCCUUCUCGGCUGUUGAACUGAGGAGUUCAUCUGAUCAUUAAACUUUUUUCCUGUCAGAUUUCUUCUGUCAACAUAUUUACAGUUAAUCAUUUUUUACCAGUGUAAAGACUAAGGUUUGUAUUUGUAUCUCUAUGUGUACGUAUUCAGUACAACUCAACUUCAAUGAUCGUGGGGGGAUUCCUAUGAUAUUUCUAGCCUCUCACCUUGUGGGUUGUUGAUUCAGUGAAAGUGAUAUUACCCAUUUAGAGUUAAAUGUAUUAAUAUCAUCUUUAUCAUAAUAUCAGCUGAUUUUACAAAUAUAACUGAUUAUAUUAUUUGGAUUUCUUUCACUGUAGAUUGUUAUAUGUUGUGUUUUUUUAUAGCUCCACAGCAAUAUUUUUUGUUUGUUUUCUUACAUUGUUAGAUUUGAUCAAUAUGUGUGUAUAUAAAGUACCAGUCAAAUCUUAUCACACUUUAGAAAAGUGUGUCCAAAUACAUUGUAUGUAAAUUACUGGUCUAUUCAUGAAGGUAUUUAGGGUGUUGGAUUUAUAGAUGAGGAUUGAUUUAAUGAAUCAUUUUGUUUUUUGUUGAAAGUCUGUAAAAACAAAACAAAAAAAAAAAAAAGCGUCUUUUUGGCUCCAAUCUUCAUAGUCAGUGAUGUAAACAUACUUUUUAAAGCAUUAAACUUUAAUGAGUUUAAUGAGCUUUGGACUCAGAAUCUACAUCGCAGUGAAGAUAAAACAUUUCAAGCUCUGUCUCAUAAUUGACUCGUAGGCAACUGGACUCGUAUUUUCGUCUAAGAAGACAUUGAAGAUGUUUCGCCUCUUAUCCAAAGGGCUUCAUCAGUUCAUGUUGGUUGGUCUACUAGCCGCACUAGUCUGACCACAGCAGUGGAGAAGGACCCAGAUAUUUAGCCUCUGUGGGUGUGUUCACCAAAAAGUACCUGUGAAAGUACUGGUUUCACUUGGCCAUUGUUGUGGUAACAUGCGAACGACAGUCGUUUGGGUCAGGUUUGUUAACCCUAACCCUAACCCCUGGUGAACGACGAUCGCUGAGAGUCGUCUGAGGUUAAGUUGUUAAUUCUCCUGGGUACAGAUGGAAGGGCGAUAUAGUACAUGGCAGAGAUAGGUUGUGUCACAGACCCCCUCCCCUGUUAAGAGAGGCUUCUUUUACUCCUCUCUCAAACCAUCUGUCCACUCUGUACAAGAUCUUGACAUUGCUCUCUUUAUAGGAGUGUGCCUUUUCCUUUAGAUGGGAAUAGACAUCCGAGACAGGACCGGAGGAGUUUGCCCUUCUGUGUUGGGCCAUGCGUUUGUUUUAAGGCUGUUUGGUCUCCCCAGUAUAUAAGUCCUUGCAUUCUUCACUGCAUUGGACAGCAUUUACCAGAUUGCUCUUUUGGUUGUGUGGUAUCUUGUCCUUGGGAUGUACCAGUCUUUGCCUAAAAGUGUUACUGGGUUUGAAACUUACAGGGUCCUUACUUACUCCUCCUGAGUUUUUCUGAGACCCCAGACACGUAUGGGAUGACAAUCAGAAACUUUUCAAGCUGCUUCCUGCGAUAGAAACAUCAUGAUCCAGGCACCUUCCAUACACAGUAUAACUGUGAUUUUAAAAACCCAGUUUGAUGUCAGAACACAUCUUUACUCAUUGGAUAAGGAAGUGUUUUGGUAGUUUAAAAGAUGUAACUAUCUAUCAGACUCUUUGGAUGUGACAGCAGGUUGUUUUGUAGUUAUAGUUUAACACGUCCUGUCAUUAAAA